CUUGAGGAGAGAGAGAGAGAUCGACGGGAGGGGUUUCCGCCCGUGCGGCCGCACCUCCACCGUCGCAGAUCCUCCACUGCCUCUCACUGUCGCUGAUGUCCUCCACUGCCAUUGCUUGUUGUUUGAAGCUACUGCGAUGCCACUGCCGUCGCCGGAAAAAGCACUGCCGAUAAGGGUUUUAAGUUUGAUUUCUGUUCUUCCAUAAUUCUGGAAAGGUUUUUGACACUGCGUGGUUGUUACAGUCGCCGUCAUCAAGGUUUUACAUCGCCGCUGUCGCUUGAGAUUAUUGAUGGAGCCGCUGCCGGGUCAAUUUAGAGUUGCGGCUGCUUCGUUUUGUUAAUUCAGAGUUAGAAUCCGAUUUGCUUGUGCCGUUUGUAGCUGUUUCUGCUUUUGAGAGAGCAAGCAGAGCCAAGGUUUUGAUUGCCAGUGAUUUCGGGUUGAGACAAAAUAACUCUGUGAGGCGUUUGGGCUAUGAUUUUGCGUAUUGAGGUAGGGGCUUUUCUAAAAAGCUAUUUCUUAUCUGGAAUUGUUAUAAAUAGAUACUAGUGUGAGAAUUAUAUACUUUUAGUGAUUGUACCAGUCUUAUGUAUU
This is a non-coding RNA of Arachis ipaensis, 591 nucleotides long. The record is from RefSeq and is a predicted model, not a curated record. NCBI's taxonomy places the organism in Eukaryota, Viridiplantae, Streptophyta, Magnoliopsida, Fabales, Fabaceae.